GCUAAAUGAUAAGCUACCCAACGUGGGACUUGAACCCCAUGACCCUGAGAUUAAGAGUCACAUGCUCUACCAACUGAGCUAGC
This 83-nucleotide transfer RNA is filed under the name Peromyscus maniculatus bairdii (prairie deer mouse). The record is from RNAcentral. Lineage: Eukaryota; Metazoa; Chordata; Mammalia; Rodentia; Cricetidae.